RNAcentral lists this non-coding RNA (24 nucleotides) under Rattus norvegicus (Norway rat). Lineage: Eukaryota; Metazoa; Chordata; Mammalia; Rodentia; Muridae. The record is from RNAcentral.
CGAGCAGAGAACUGCAUUAUGCAA